AGAACAUUGGUAGCGACGCGCCCGCUGCGGAAAACCUCCGAGUUAGCAAUUGCGCGCAGAUAGCCAAGGUUGGUUUCGAUUCCAGCAACGGUUGAGCUGUCCAGCACGCUGACGAGUUUUUCAAUCGCAUCCUUACNCGCCGCGACAAUCACCUUCGCCAGCAUGGGGUCGUAAAACGGCGUGACCUCGACGCCUGUUUCGAUCCAGCCGUCGACACGUGCACCAUCCGGGAAACGAACAUUAGUCAGACGUCCGGCACUGGGACGAAACCCGGCAUUGGGAUUCUCGGCGUAAACCCGCACUUCGAUGGCC
Molecule: unclassified non-coding RNA, 312 nt
Filed under: Hevea brasiliensis (rubber tree)
Lineage: Eukaryota; Viridiplantae; Streptophyta; Magnoliopsida; Malpighiales; Euphorbiaceae
Source: RNAcentral